CAAAAGUCGUGCACGCCGGAGCAUGUCCUCUCUCUCACAUAAAAUCCAUCUCACCCUUUUGUGCACCACCGCGCGGGCACCCUUUGGGAUGCUUGCGUUUUCACACAAACCCCUUUUAAAAAAGUGUAGAAUGACCCCACUUUGCGAUGACACGCAAUCAAUACAACUUUCAACAACGGAUCUCUUGGCUCUCGCAUCGAUGAAGAACGCAGCGAAAUGCGAUACGUAAUGUGAAUUGCAGAAUUCAGUGAAUCAUCGAAUCUUUGAACGCACCUUGCGCCCCUUGGUAUUCCGAGGGGCACACCCGUUUGAGUGUCGUGAAAAUCUCAACCUUCUCGGUUUUCUUCUGGACACCGAAGGAGGCUUGGACUUUGGAGGCCUUUGCUGGCGUCUCUCUAGAGCCAGCUCCUCUUAAAUGAAUUAGCGGGGUCCUCUUUGCCGAUCCUUGACAUGUGAUAAGAUGUUUCCAUGACUCGGUUUCUGGCUCUGUUGCAUUUGGGACCUGCUUCUAACCGUCUCGACGAGACGAUGUUUGGGAGUGUCUCCCUUCUCGGGAGACUCUCUCGACCCCACGAACC
Molecule: ribosomal RNA, 578 nt
Filed under: Lactarius hatsudake
Lineage: Eukaryota; Fungi; Basidiomycota; Agaricomycetes; Russulales; Russulaceae
Description: eukaryotic LSU rRNA
Rfam family: 5.8S ribosomal RNA (bases 165-318)
Source: RNAcentral